This 229-nucleotide ribosomal RNA is filed under the name uncultured bacterium. RNAcentral describes it as "partial 16S ribosomal RNA". It matches the Rfam family "Bacterial small subunit ribosomal RNA", at positions 524 to 751 of the family's 1533-position model. The record is from RNAcentral.
UACGUAGGGUGCAAGCGUUAAUCGGAAUUACUGGGCGUAAAGCGUGCGCAGGCGGUUAUGUAAGACAGAUGUGAAAUCCCCGGGCUCAACCUGGGAACUGCAUUUGUGACUGCAUAGCUAGAGUACGGGUAGAGGGGGAUGGAAUUCCGCGUGUAGCAGUGAAAUGCGUAGAUAUGCGGAGGAACACCGAUGGCGAAGGCAAUCCCCUGGACCUGUACUGACGCUCAUG